Molecule: transfer RNA, 88 nt
Filed under: Dehalococcoidia bacterium
Lineage: Bacteria; Bacillati; Chloroflexota; Dehalococcoidia
Description: tRNA-Ser
Rfam family: tRNA
About the family: Transfer RNA (tRNA) molecules are approximately 80 nucleotides in length. Their secondary structure includes four short double-helical elements and three loops (D, anti-codon, and T loops).
Source: RNAcentral
GGAGGGGUGGCAGAGCGGAUUAAUGCAACGGUCUUGAAAACCGUCCUCGGGCAACCGAGCGGGGGUUCGAAUCCCUCCCCCUCCGCCA